Molecule: long non-coding RNA, 840 nt
Organism: Ctenopharyngodon idella (grass carp)
Lineage: Eukaryota; Metazoa; Chordata; Actinopteri; Cypriniformes; Xenocyprididae
Exons: 2
Source: RefSeq, a predicted model, not a curated record
UAUCAAGGACGACUGCUGUCUUCGCUUGGACGUUUAUAUGUACAGGCAGCAUGUCGCCACUUGCAACGUGAUCCAGCUCUAAAUUAUGUCGUUGCGUUAAAAUAAUUAUUACUUUUCUCAGUGAUGGUUCGCCAGUUAACAAAUUACUCGACUGAUACUUAUCGGCAUCUGGGGCGCUCUUACGCUUUGCGGCUGCCUGGGAUACGGCUCAUGAGCGCAGAGGCUUGUCGCGUGCACACCUGCUGUGGCGCUCCAUCUCAAGGAGAGCAGCGCGAGAGCCCCGCGUGCUCAACCUGACCUCAGCACGACUGGAUUCUGAUGUCUGUAUUAACAUCUGUGGGAGACAGCAGUCAAUCCUCAUGAACCUAGCCCUGUCUGCUUUGAUUUUCUCCUGUUCAGUCCUACUUGGGCACGUUCACGGGCGCCUGCUCCACGUAGAAGAGGAAGGACGAGCAGGCACUCUGCAGAAUCCUCUCAUUAAGAUGACAGGCCCAACCAUGGCAACAAUUAACUCCAUUCAGACACAAUUCAUCCCUCUUUUCAGGGUGUAAAGAAGAGAUGAGAGGAGACGUGCAGGUCAGACUUAGCUGAGUGUUAGCCUCACAGAUAAUCUGAGGUACUGACGGUACGAAUGAAACUGAUGGAGGUCUGUCUGCAGCAUACCCAACAGGAUAUCCCAUUUCUGGGAUGAUCUGGCCAUGAGGUGCACUGGGACUUCCUGGUGGUCUGUUCAACUUAUGUGCUGUCAAAACAAAUUUGAUAUGAAAUAAUUAUAGAUUUAAAGAUUUGUCCCAUACAGUACGGGUCAAGUUUAUCAAAUAAAAUUACAAAAUAAAUUUA